GACGAACGCUGGCGGCGUGCUUAACACAUGCAAGUCGAACGGAAAGGCCCUGCUUUUGUGGGGUUCUCGAGUGGCGAACGGGUGAGUAACACGUGAGUAACCUGCCCUUGACUUUGGGAUAACUUCAGGAAACUGGUUCUAAUACCGUAUAGGAGCUCCUGCUGCAUGGUGGGGGUUGGAAAGUUUCGGCGGUUGGGGAUGUACUCGCGGCUUAUCAGCUUGUUUGUGGGGUAGUGGCUUACCAAGGCUUUGACGGGUAGCCGGCCUGUGAGGGUGAACGGGAACAAGGGGACUGAGAUAGGGAGCAGAAGGGAACGGGAGGCAGCAGGGGGGAAUAUGGCACAAUGGGAGGAAGCCUGAGGAAGAAACGCCGGGUGGGGGAUGACGGCCUUCGGGGUGAAAAAAGAUUUAGACUGUGACGAAGCGUGAGUGACGGUAAUGGGUAAAGAAGCACCGGCUAACUACGUG
RNAcentral lists this ribosomal RNA (468 nucleotides) under uncultured bacterium. Its description in RNAcentral is "partial 16S ribosomal RNA". It matches the Rfam family "Bacterial small subunit ribosomal RNA", at positions 28 to 507 of the family's 1533-position model. The record is from RNAcentral.